CAGUCAGGGGAGCCCGUAGGCGGGCUGAGAGGAAGUGCUCAAACUUCGACCCUUUAACCUGAUAUGGGUAAUGCCAGCGUAGGGAGAUGUGA
Molecule: non-coding RNA, 92 nt
Filed under: uncultured Blautia sp.
Lineage: Bacteria; Bacillati; Bacillota; Clostridia; Lachnospirales; Lachnospiraceae
Description: TPP riboswitch (THI element)
Rfam family: TPP riboswitch aptamer (THI element)
About the family: Vitamin B(1) in its active form thiamin pyrophosphate (TPP) is an essential coenzyme that is synthesised by coupling of pyrimidine and thiazole moieties in bacteria.
Source: RNAcentral